CACACCGCCCGUCACACCAUGGGAGUCAGUUGCUCCAGAAGUGGCCGAGCCAACCCGCAAGGGAGGCAAGCCCCUAAGGAGUGGCUGGUAACUGGGGUG
This 99-nucleotide ribosomal RNA is filed under the name uncultured bacterium. Its description in RNAcentral is "partial 16S ribosomal RNA". It matches the Rfam family "Bacterial small subunit ribosomal RNA", at positions 1386 to 1482 of the family's 1533-position model. The record is from RNAcentral.